This 97-nucleotide ribosomal RNA is filed under the name Citrobacter freundii. RNAcentral's name for it is "partial 23S ribosomal RNA". The stretch from base 1 to 85 matches the Rfam family "Bacterial large subunit ribosomal RNA", at positions 2841 to 2925 of the family's 2925-position model. The record is from RNAcentral. RNAcentral also lists the same sequence under 1 other name. Lineage: Bacteria; Pseudomonadati; Pseudomonadota; Gammaproteobacteria; Enterobacterales; Enterobacteriaceae.
AAGACGAUGACGUUGAUAGGUCGGGUGUGUAAGCGUAGCGAUACGUUGAGCUAACCGAUACUAAUGAACCGUGAGGCUUAACCUUACAACGCCGAAG